AAGUCGUAACAAGGUUUCCGUAGGUGAACCUGCGGAAGGAUCAUUAAAGAAUUAGGCUUCGCGGCCAAGUUCUCACCCUUCUGUAUCACCAGCAAAUUCCGAUUGGUUGGCCUUUGGCAGGUCCCCUGCGAUUCCUCGGGCCUGCCAGAUGGUUAAUCAACCUAGAAUCUCUGCUGUCUGAGUACUAUACAAUAGUUAAAA
Molecule: unclassified non-coding RNA, 201 nt
Filed under: plant metagenome
Description: partial contains small subunit ribosomal RNA and internal transcribed spacer 1
Rfam family: Eukaryotic small subunit ribosomal RNA (bases 1-46)
Source: RNAcentral